AUUUUGUAAAAAUAAAAUUCCAUUUUUUCCGUAUUUUACUCAUAAAUGGACUUAAUUUUUUCUGCGGGGAAACAUAACAUUCACUCUGUGGUUAAAGUUUUUAGAAUUUUAAUAACUUUCUUAAACUAUCCUGGUUUUGUACCAAACUUGGACAGAAGCUUGUUUAUGAUCAUAAGAUAGUAUCCAGAAGUAAAUUUUGUAAAAAAAUAAAUCCAUUUUUUCUGUAUUUUACUUUUAAAUGGACUUAGUUUUUCUGCGGGGAAAC
Molecule: long non-coding RNA, 265 nt
Filed under: Mytilus galloprovincialis (Mediterranean mussel)
Lineage: Eukaryota; Metazoa; Mollusca; Bivalvia; Mytilida; Mytilidae
Source: RNAcentral